RNAcentral lists this ribosomal RNA (775 nucleotides) under [Borrelia] chilensis. RNAcentral describes it as "bacterial SSU rRNA". It matches the Rfam family "Bacterial small subunit ribosomal RNA", at positions 84 to 851 of the family's 1533-position model. The record is from RNAcentral. Lineage: Bacteria; Pseudomonadati; Spirochaetota; Spirochaetia; Spirochaetales; Borreliaceae.
ACAAACAUUCAGUGGCGAACGGGUGAGUAACGCGUGGAUGAUCUACCUAUGAGAUGGGGAUAACUAUUAGAAAUAGUAGCUAAUACCGAAUAAGGUCAAUUAAUUUGUUAAUUGAUGAAAGGAAGCCUUUAAAGCUUCGCUUGUAGAUGAGUCUGCGUCUUAUUAGCUAGUUGGUAGGGUAAAUGCCUACCAAGGCGAUGAUAAGUAACCGGCCUGAGAGGGUGAACGGUCACACUGGAACUGAGAUACGGCCCAGACUCCUACGGGAGGCAGCAGCUAAGAAUCUUCCGCAAUGGGCGAAAGCCUGACGGAGCGACACUGCGUGAAUGAAGAAGGUCGAAAGAUUGUAAAAUUCUUUUAUAAAUGAGGAAUAAGCUUUGCAGGAAAUGGUAAAGUGAUGACGUUAAUUUAUGAAUAAGCCCCGGCUAAUUACGUGCCAGCAGCCGCGGUAAUACGUAAGGGGCGAGCGUUGUUCGGGAUUAUUGGGCGUAAAGGCUGAGUAGGCGGAUAUAUAAGUCUAUGCGUAAAAUACCACAGCUCAACUGUGGAACUAUGUUGGCAACUGUAUGUCUAGAGUCUGAUAGAGGAAGCUAGAAUCCCUGGUGUAAGGGUGGAAUCUGUUGAUAUCAGGAAGAAUACCGGAGGCGAAGGCGAACUUCUGGGUCAAGACUGACGCAGAGUCCCGAAAGCGUAGGGAGCAAACAGGAUAAGAUACCCUGGUAGUCUACGCUGUAAACGAUGCACACUUGGUGUUAACUAAAAGUUAGUACCGAAG